Molecule: long non-coding RNA, 818 nt
Filed under: Canis lupus familiaris (dog)
Lineage: Eukaryota; Metazoa; Chordata; Mammalia; Carnivora; Canidae
Description: lncRNA (ENSCAFG00845006280.1)
Source: RNAcentral
UCUGCAUGGAGCGCUGAGGUGCACGUCCUGGCCCUCGUCUGCUCCCCCCACCCCCCAGACCCUGCCUCGGAAGUGGGGGAGCCUAGGGGGGUGAGAGCUCAGCCGGCCUCGGGGCAACACCCAUAAAGACCAGCGUCCUUAUGCACCCAGGGGUUGAGAGCCCCAACUCUGGAGCCUGUCCGCCUGGGUCUCCAUAUCCGCCAUUCACCGCGGUGUGAUCUUCAGAUUCCAGUUUCCUCAUCUGUAACAGAGAUGUAAGGCUUGCAUGACAACCUAGGUAAAGCCCUUAAACGGGGCCGCCCCUGGUAAGCACCAUUUGAGUAUGAGUUCAUAAUUGGUGACACUAUUUGCUGGGCUCUUGUUCUGUACCAGGCAGGGUGCUAAGCCUUGAGCAGAAGUCGGCUUGGUUAACCCUCUCAAGCAGAAGUUCAGUCAUCCCCCCAUUGUAUGGAUGAGGAGGUUGAGGCACAGAGAAACUAAGUCGCAUGGCCAGCGUCAUCCCGGGAAGUGACGGAGCCUGGAUUCCAACUAAGGCACAGGCUCUCGGCCUCUGUACAGCCCGAAUCACCCUGAGACCCAGGGGGACCUCUGAUUUGGGAGAAGGGAAGACAACAGAAGGAUUUAUCCAGACACAGUGCUUGAACCAGAAGCUUCUGCCUGGAACCCCAUCCCCACCUCCCUCUUCCAGUCCUUCCCCUUCCUGCCUCCACUAUUCUGAGAUAGCAAGUCAUAACCAAGGGCAACCACAGAGUGCUCCUGAAGUCUCAGAAGGCUUAGUGAGACGCCAUCCCUGCCUGGCUGGAUCCAAAAAACAUUGA